GCGGACAAGGUCCGCUAGGAUGUAACCGUAAGGUUGAACUAUAAA
The submitters of this non-coding RNA (45 nucleotides) gave its source as unclassified sequences. The record is from Rfam.